UACAGAGGUGGCAAGCGUUGUUCGGAAUUACUGGGCGUAAAGGGCGCGUAGGCGGCCUUCUAAGUCAGACGUGAAAUCCCCCGGCUUAACCUGGGAACUGCGUCUGAUACUGGGAGGCUAGAGUAUGGGAGAGGGAUGUAGAAUUUCAGGUGUAGCGGUGAAAUGCGUAGAUAUCUGGAGGAACACCGGUGGCGAAGGCGGCAUCCUGGACCAACACUGACACUGAGGAGCGAAAGCCAGGGGAGCAAACGGG
Molecule: ribosomal RNA, 253 nt
Filed under: uncultured bacterium
Lineage: Bacteria
Description: partial 16S ribosomal RNA
Rfam family: Bacterial small subunit ribosomal RNA
Source: RNAcentral